UACGGAGGGGGCUAGCGUUGUUCGGAAUUACUGGGCGUAAAGCGCACGUAGGCGGAUCUUUAAGUCAGGGGUGAAAUCCUGGAGCUCAACUCCAGAACUGCCUUUGAUACUGGGGAUCUCGAGUCCGGAAGAGGUGAGUGGAACUCCGAGUGUAGAGGUGAAAUUCGUAGAUAUUCGGAAGAACACCAGUGGCGAAGGCGGCUCACUGGUCCGGUACUGACGCUGAGGUGCGAAAGCGUGGGGAUCGAACAGG
Molecule: ribosomal RNA, 253 nt
Filed under: uncultured bacterium
Lineage: Bacteria
Description: partial 16S ribosomal RNA
Rfam family: Bacterial small subunit ribosomal RNA
Source: RNAcentral